Molecule: long non-coding RNA, 501 nt
Organism: Oreochromis aureus
Lineage: Eukaryota; Metazoa; Chordata; Actinopteri; Cichliformes; Cichlidae
Exons: 4
Source: RefSeq, a predicted model, not a curated record
GGCAAAUUCAUAUAUGGUGCAUUGCUUGGUGGACUUGCAAGCUUAUGUAAAAGACAUUUCAAGAUAAAGGAGGAAUUCAAGAGUUCAACCACUGUAAGCCUUGAAUGGCUACACUUGACCCCAAAACUGAUGGACGUCAUUUUUUCAAGGGGAGGAGCUAAAGGAGUGAGAAUCAGGCAGAUCAAGUACAUGCUUCUUGAGCACAAUUCAACUGAAAUACACAGAGAAGUAGCCAUCUGCUGCCUUAUCACAUACCUUGGAGAGAAGGAAGAGGACCUUUUCAUGGAGUUUGGUGACAAUUUAAGGCCAACCUUGAAAGGCAGGUGAUGAAAACUGCCAUCAUCGGUGACCGGUACACCCCUGGAUCUGACCAUAAGACUGCAACCAUUGUGGUGCGGGAACAAAAAUCCUGGAGGGCCAGAAUUUCCCAAGGUGCUGUGUGUUACUCAUGGGCAUAAUAUAUGCUCUCAAUCUGAGCUAAUGCAAGGAUCUGAAAUAUAC